This 301-nucleotide ribosomal RNA is filed under the name uncultured bacterium. RNAcentral's name for it is "partial 16S ribosomal RNA". It matches the Rfam family "Bacterial small subunit ribosomal RNA", at positions 509 to 807 of the family's 1533-position model. The record is from RNAcentral.
CAGUCGCCACGGUAAUACGGAGGGAGCUAGCGUUGUUCGGAAUUACUGGGCGUAAAGCGCGCGUAGGCGGUUACUCAAGUCAGAGGUAAAAGCCCGGGGCUCAACCCCGGAACUGCCUUUGAAACUAGGUGACUAGAAUCUUGGAGAGGUCAGUGGAAUUCCGAGUGUAGAGGUGAAAUUCGUAGAUAUUCGGAAGAACACCAGUGGCGAAGGCGACUGACUGGACAAGUAUUGACGCUGAGGUGCGAAAGCGUGGGGAGCAAACAGGAUUAGAUACCCGAGUAGUCCCUGUCUCUUAUAC